RNAcentral lists this ribosomal RNA (447 nucleotides) under uncultured soil bacterium. Its description in RNAcentral is "bacterial SSU rRNA". It matches the Rfam family "Bacterial small subunit ribosomal RNA", at positions 26 to 518 of the family's 1533-position model. The record is from RNAcentral.
AGAACGAACGCUGGCGGCAGGCCUAACACAUGCAAGUCGAACGCCCGUAGCAAUACGGGAGUGGCAGACGGGUGAGUAACGCGUGGGAACGUACCUUUCGGUUCGGAAUAACCCGGGGGAAACUCGGGCUAAUACCGGAUACGUCCGCAAGGAGAAAGAUUUAUCGCCGAAAGAUCGGCCCGCGUCGGAUUAGCUAGUUGGUGAGGUAACGGCCCACCAAGGCGACGAUCCGUAGCUGGUCUGAGAGGAUGAUCAGCCACACUGGGACUGAGACACGGCCCAGACUCCUACGGGAGGCAGCAGUGGGGAAUAUGGACAAUGGGCGAAAGCCUGAUCCAGCCAUGCCGCGUGAGUGAAGAAGGCCGUUAGGUUGUAAAGCUCUUCAGGCGGGAAGAUAAUGACGGUACCCGACAGAAGAAGUCCCGGAUAACUCGUGCCAGCAGCCGC